GACGAACGCUGGCGGCGUGCCUAAUACAUGCAAGUCGAACGAGAGCGACCGGUGCUUGCACUGGUCAAUCUAGUGGCGAACGGGUGAGUAACACGUGGGUAACCUGCCCAUCAGAGGGGGAUAACAUCCGGAAACGGAUGCUAAAACCGCAUAGGUCUUCGAACCGCAUGGUUUGAAGAGGAAAAGAGGCGCAAGCUUCUGCUGAUGGAUGGACCCGCGGUGCAUUAGCUAGUUGGUGAGGUAACGGCUCACCAAGGCCGUGAUGCAUAGCCGACCUGAGAGGGUGAUCGGCCACAUUGGGACUGAGACACGGCCCAAACUCCUACGGGAGGCAGCAGUAGGGAAUCCUCCGCAAUGGACGCAAGUCUGACGGAGCAACGCCGCGUGAGUGAAGAAGGUUUUCGGAUCGUAAAACUCUGUUGUUAGAGAAGAACAAGUGCUAGAGUAACUGUUAGCGCCUUGACGGUAUCUAACCAGAAAGCCACGGCUAACUACGUG
This 498-nucleotide ribosomal RNA is filed under the name uncultured bacterium. Its description in RNAcentral is "partial 16S ribosomal RNA". It matches the Rfam family "Bacterial small subunit ribosomal RNA", at positions 28 to 507 of the family's 1533-position model. The record is from RNAcentral.